AGAAGCUGGCAAGGCAUAUGGCCUUACUGAAAUGUCUGUUCUGUGCUUGGAGGCCACUGACAUCCAAAGAGACACUUUCUCUUUUUUAGUUUAACCUAGUCUCUGCUUCAGUGCCUGGAUUUUGCUCUGCUGUCACCGGGCCUGAGUUAGUGAAGAUCAAUCACCAAGACUGCUGACAGACUGACAGCAUUUUUCUCUGUCAAUCAAGAGAAAUCACUUCUGCGAUGGAGCUGGUCCACCUUCUCAAACAAAGCGUCAGAGACAGCUUUGGCAGAAACAGUAAAAACUGCACCCCGAAAGGAAAGAACCUCUGUCCUAACAAGAACAUGCAUGUUUGUAAUCUGAAAUGCACACAAACAGAUUUUACCACCCUUUUACUGGGUUCAAAAACAGCACUCUGAAGUCUCUGCACCCAACUAUUACAAACUUGAAGAUUCUAAGCAACAUUCAUACAUCAAACAGAAACAACCUUUCAAAAUAUGAAGUCUUUUCCAAGCAUGCCUUACCCUGACUCCUUCUCACCACCCAUCCACCCGAACACUGCACAUGAACUGAGUUCUUUAAAUUUCUGAGACGACUGUACAACCACCUUCUGCAUAAAAAUCGAGCAGCUUAAAUCUGCAGCAUGUUCAACACCUUCAGCCUCCCCCAAAUUCCUGCUGAACAACUGGCGUGAAUCGCCUUCCCUCACCUACAGACUGUCACCAGCCCUGGAACAGACGAGGGAGGCUUCAGCCGUGCGUGGGAAGCAUCAGCCAUCUUCUGUGACUUCAUAUGCUGCAACACAGAAGAGAAAUCUGCAUUCUUCUCAGUUCUUGUGCAAAGCUGGUGGUGUUACAUUCCACCACCCUUCAGUUUGAAUUGUAGUCCUCUCUUCCUCCCUCAGUCAGAAGUUCUGUUUUGACAAAAAUCUGCUUUUGUGCAGAGCAGUGAAUACUGCAAGGCUACAGCUUGAUCUGAAGGCAAAGCAACCUGGCACCUUCAAAAUUUAGAUCAAUAAGCCUGAAGUGGAAAAAAUUUCAGCUGCAUCAUCUAUGUCUUACUGCUGAUGAUACAAUUGCUCUAAAUAAAGGAGAUUAUCACCAGAUACAUGGAAUUCUCUAUGUCCCUAAAUCAGGAGGUUAAAGCCAUUUACCAACUCAGUCACUAUCAACUUCUCUCCCCACUCCUCUUCUGCCUUUCUCAAGGUAAGUGACUUACAUACAUUCAACAGUGGCAUUAAAAUAGAAAGGUUAAAGUCAAAUCUCCUUUAACCUUUUCCAGAUCAACCUCAGAAGGACUUUUUUUCACCUCCCAGGUACAUCCUAACUAGUAGGUUGGAAGGUAAGCAGUGUAUCAUGCUUUUUGCCAUCUCUUAGCUUAGUUUUGACUUGAUUUGUGCAUUGGUAUUUUCAGAAUACUUGUUACUGUUUCUGUACUGUAAAUUUCUGCUGACUUUUCUCCUGGAAUAGGAGUUUGCAGAGAUUGCCUUUUGUAGUCAUGGCCUGUGUCUUCCUAACUCUGGAGAACCCCUCUG
Non-coding RNA from Zonotrichia albicollis (white-throated sparrow), 1516 nucleotides. The record is from RefSeq and is a predicted model, not a curated record. Lineage: Eukaryota; Metazoa; Chordata; Aves; Passeriformes; Passerellidae.